AGAACGAACGCUGGCGGCAGGCUUAACACAUGCAAGUCGAACGCUCGUAGCAAUACGGGAGUGGCAGACGGGUGAGUAACGCGUGGGAACAUACCCUCCGGUUCGGAAUAGCUCAGGGAAACUUGGAUUAAUACCGGAUACGGCCGAGAGGCGAAAGAUUUAUCGCCGGAGGAUUGGCCCGCGUUCGAUUAGCUAGUUGGUGAGGUAACGGCUCACCAAGGCGAUGAUCGAUAGCUGGUCUGAGAGGAUGAUCAGCCACAUUGGGACUGAGACACGGCCCAAACUCCUACGGGAGGCAGCAGUGGGAAUAUUGGACAAUGGGCGCAAGCCUGAUCCAGCCAUGCCGCGUGAGUGAUGACGGCCUUAGGGUUGUAAAGCUCUUUCGCUCGGAACGAUAAUGACGGUACCGAGAUAAGAAGCCCCGGCUAACUUCGUGCCAGCAGCCGC
This 447-nucleotide ribosomal RNA is filed under the name uncultured bacterium. Its description in RNAcentral is "SSU rRNA". It matches the Rfam family "Bacterial small subunit ribosomal RNA", at positions 26 to 518 of the family's 1533-position model. The record is from RNAcentral.